UCUCCUACAGUAUCACCAUCCAACAACUACCAUUAGAGGCCUCUUCUGCUAUACAUUUAUUUAGUGGGUGGUCCCACACAUGGAGAUUGUCUGAUUCAUUGACUAAUCCAAUGGGCCCCAUUGUCACUUAAAUUUCACGGGAUAAAUAUGUAAUCAAUAUAAAUAGUGUGGCGCAUGGACUGCACCAAAUGAAUGGUGAGGAUAGCCAUGUCAAAGUUUCUUUUUUUUUUUUUUUGACAAAAAUCCUGAAGUACUUUUUACAUGACUAAUUUCUCACA
Molecule: long non-coding RNA, 278 nt
Filed under: Elaeis guineensis (African oil palm)
Lineage: Eukaryota; Viridiplantae; Streptophyta; Magnoliopsida; Arecales; Arecaceae
Description: long non-coding RNA (EGUI_LNC027775)
Source: RNAcentral